Molecule: ribosomal RNA, 465 nt
Filed under: Vreelandella stevensii
Lineage: Bacteria; Pseudomonadati; Pseudomonadota; Gammaproteobacteria; Oceanospirillales; Halomonadaceae
Description: partial 16S ribosomal RNA
Rfam family: Bacterial small subunit ribosomal RNA
Source: RNAcentral
CCUACGGGUGGCAGCAGUGGGGAAUAUUGGACAAUGGGGGCAACCCUGAUCCAGCCAUGCCGCGUGUGUGAAGAAGGCCCUCGGGUUGUAAAGCACUUUCAGUGAGGAAGAACGCCUGGUGGUUAAUACCCAUCAGGAAAGACAUCACUCACAGAAGAAGCACCGGCUGACUCCGUGCCAGCAGCCGCGGUAAUACGGAGGGUGCGAGCGUUAAUCGGAAUUACUGGGCGUAAAGCGCGCGUAGGUGGCUUGAUAAGCCGGUUGUGAAAGCCCCGGGCUCAACCUGGGAACGGCAUCCGGAACUGUCAAGCUAGAGUGCAGGAGAGGAAGGUAGAAUUCCCGGUGUAGCGGUGAAAUGCGUAGAGAUCGGGAGGAAUACCAGUGGCGAAGGCGGCCUUCUGGACUGACACUGACACUGAGGUGCGAAAGCGUGGGUAGCAAACAGGAUUAGAUACCCUUGUAGUC